RNAcentral lists this ribosomal RNA (456 nucleotides) under Triticum aestivum (bread wheat). RNAcentral describes it as "partial small subunit ribosomal RNA". The record is from RNAcentral. Lineage: Eukaryota; Viridiplantae; Streptophyta; Magnoliopsida; Poales; Poaceae.
AUGAUCAGAUCAAAAGGGCAAGGUGGAAUGGGAUUCCGAGAUAUGUGGAUUUUUCAUCAGGCACUACUGGCUCGUCAAGCUUGGCGGUUGUUGCAAACACCGGAUAGUCUAUGUGCACGCGUACUGAAGACCCGAUACUACCCACAAGGCAAUUUACUAGACACCGUGUUUACAGGGCAACCCUCGUCAACUUGGUCUGCUAUAUCUUAUGGGCUGGAAAUUCUCAAGGAAGGCAUGAUAUGGCGCAUUGGUAAUGGUGAAUCGGUCUGCAUUUGGCAUGACAAUUGGAUACCACGCUCGUCUUUGCUCAAGCCGUUUAGCGCUCGAGGCCGGUCCAGACUCAUCAAAGUUUCCAGCUUGCUUGACGAACGAGGUACAUGGGAUGUAGCUGCUGUGCGGGCUAAUUUUCUACCGAUCGAUGCUAGGGCCAUUUUAUCCAUCCGUACCUCACCAUGA